Molecule: ribosomal RNA, 496 nt
Filed under: uncultured bacterium
Lineage: Bacteria
Description: partial 16S ribosomal RNA
Rfam family: Bacterial small subunit ribosomal RNA
Source: RNAcentral
AUGAACGCUGGCGGCGUGCCUAAUACAUGCAAGUCGAGCGAACAGACGAGGAGCUUGCUCCUCUGACGUUAGCGGCGGACGGGUGAGUAACACGUGGAUAACCUACCUAUAAGACUGGGAUAACUUCGGGAAACCGGAGCUAAUACCGGAUAAUAUAUUGAACCGCAUGGUUCAAUAGUGAAAGACGGUUUUGCUGUCACUUAUAGAUGGAUCCGCGCCGCAUUAGCUAGUUGGUAAGGUAACGGCUUACCAAGGCAACGAUGCGUAGCCGACCUGAGAGGGUGAUCGGCCACACUGGAACUGAGACACGGUCCAGACUCCUACGGGAGGCAGCAGUAGGGAAUCUUCCGCAAUGGGCGAAAGCCUGACGGAGCAACGCCGCGUGAGUGAUGAAGGUCUUCGGAUCGUAAAACUCUGUUAUUAGCGAAGAACAAAUGUGUAAGUAACUAUGCACGUCUUGACGGUACCUAAUCAGAAAGCCACGGCUAACUACGUG